Molecule: long non-coding RNA, 1065 nt
Organism: Gorilla gorilla gorilla (western lowland gorilla)
Lineage: Eukaryota; Metazoa; Chordata; Mammalia; Primates; Hominidae
Exons: 6
Source: RefSeq, a predicted model, not a curated record
CAAGUGGAGUGGGGUGUGACAACGGAAGGGAGGAAGUAGACUGAGCAAUUCUUCAUCCGGCGAGAGCCACUUCCGGUCAGAACAUCAAUGACCGCCAUUUGAAUCAACAAAAGAAGAUGCCCUUCUUGCAUGGCCGUAUAUCUUGAGCUUAUGGAUGAUUUAUUGCAACUGGCUGUUAAUUCUCUCCCUUGAGCUCAUGGAGGGUGUCUUGGCCCUGAUUAUAUUUCAAGCUCUUCCCACUGUGAACUACUGGCAUCUUACUUUUUGACCCCUUGACAAGAAGAAUUGGAGUUACCAAAAUGCUGUCAUUUAAGGUGUUGGAGUGGAAACCAGAACAUUACCUAUUAUCAAGAAGGGGUUUCUUCUAAGGCAUUCAGGGCCUCUUCAGGGCCUCUUCAAGACUACCUUCUACUCUCAAACACCAACUCUUAAGGGCACUCAGAAACAUACAUCUAAGGAAAGAUUCACUUAAAAACCAGCCAAGACACGGUCAUAUAAUUGGGAUCUCCAGGGCCCUGAGUAAAGACAGUCACCUCUCACUUCAUUGUCAGUAAAUCAAACUCUCCACAGAUGGGCAUUUCCAGGUUUUCCUGUGAGUUUCUUGCACCUACAGAGCCCGGCCAAAUACUACAAUCCUGAAGGCCCAGAAACACUGGGAAUGCACAAGGGAGUUCGACUAGACAUGAGGCUCUGCGCCUUCUCACUCGUCUUCAGAAUAGUUUGUGGAAAGUCCCCUUGCCCUCUGCCCCAGCUCGGGUGUGCCACCUGCCCUCAGUCCAGCCUUGGUGGCCUCAACCAAAUUUAGAUGCGUAAUGCCACGUGCGGUUAAUGGAUGGUACCAAAAGGGCGCGCGGCUUCUAUCUCCGCCAGCCCCGCUUUGUUACCUCUGACAACCACUCGAGGCUGGGAAGAGACCUGUGUCGUUUCCACUCAGCUCCAGCCCAGCAACUAAGUACAUUCAUACUAGGGACAUCAAUCUCAGAUGCCAAAGCCUGGAGAUUUGCAUUGCAAAUAGGCGAACGUGGUGACAUUUCACCACUGGGAGCAGAACCUGAGGCAUCCUCC